Molecule: ribosomal RNA, 254 nt
Filed under: uncultured bacterium
Lineage: Bacteria
Description: partial 16S ribosomal RNA
Rfam family: Bacterial small subunit ribosomal RNA
Source: RNAcentral
GACAGAGGGUGCGAGCGUUGUUCGGAAUUACUGAGCGUAAAGCGCGCGCAGGCGGAUCCUGCAAGUCGGAAGUGAAAUGUGGCUGCUCAACGGCCACGCUGCUUCCGAUACUGCGGAUCUGGGGACCGGUAGAGGCUGGUGGAAUUGCAGGUGUAGCGGUGGAAUGCGUAGAGAUCUGCAAGAACACCCGUGGCGAAGGCGGCCAGCUGGGCCGGAUCCGACGCUGAGGCGCGAAAGCGUGGGGAGCAAACAGG